RNAcentral lists this ribosomal RNA (612 nucleotides) under Salmonella enterica subsp. enterica serovar Enteritidis. Its description in RNAcentral is "partial 23S ribosomal RNA". It matches the Rfam family "Bacterial large subunit ribosomal RNA", at positions 1 to 651 of the family's 2925-position model. The record is from RNAcentral. Lineage: Bacteria; Pseudomonadati; Pseudomonadota; Gammaproteobacteria; Enterobacterales; Enterobacteriaceae.
GAGGUUAAGCGACUAAGCGUACACGGUGGAUGCCCUGGCAGUCAGAGGCGAUGAAGGGCGUACUAAUCUGCGAUAAGCGCCGGUAAGGUGAUAUGAACCGUUAUAACCGGCGAUACCCGAAUGGGGAAACCCAGUGUGAUUCGUCACACUAUCAUUAACUGAAUCCAUAGGUUAAUGAGGCGAACCGGGGGAACUGAAACAUCUAAGUACCCCGAGGAAAAGAAAUCAACCGAGAUUCCCCCAGUAGCGGCGAGCGAACGGGGAGGAGCCCAGAGCCUGAAUCAGCAUGUGUGUUAGUGGAAGCGUCUGGAAAGGCGCGCGAUACAGGGUGACAGCCCCGUACACAAAAGCGCAUGUGCUGUGAGCUCGAUGAGUAGGGCGGGACACGUGGUAUCCUGUCUGAAUAUGGGGGGACCAUCCUCCAAGGCUAAAUACUCCUGACUGACCGAUAGUGAACCAGUACCGUGAGGGAAAGGCGAAAAGAACCCCGGCGAGGGGAGUGAAAAAGAACCUGAAACCGUGUACGUACAAGCAGUGGGAGCACCCUUUGGGUGUGACUGCGUACCUUUUGUAUAAUGGGUCAGCGACUUAUAUUCUGUAGCAAGGUUAACC